Molecule: ribosomal RNA, 464 nt
Filed under: uncultured Klebsiella sp.
Lineage: Bacteria; Pseudomonadati; Pseudomonadota; Gammaproteobacteria; Enterobacterales; Enterobacteriaceae
Description: bacterial SSU rRNA
Rfam family: Bacterial small subunit ribosomal RNA
Source: RNAcentral
CCUACGGGGGGCUGCAGUGGGGAAUAUUGCACAAUGGGCGCAAGCCUGAUGCAGCCAUGCCGCGUGUGUGAAGAAGGCCUUCGGGUUGUAAAGCACUUUCAGCGGGGAGGAAGGCGUUAAGGUUAAUAACCUUGGCGAUUGACGUUACCCGCAGAAGAAGCACCGGCUAACUCCGUGCCAGCAGCCGCGGUAAUACGGAGGGUGCAAGCGUUAAUCGGAAUUACUGGGCGUAAAGCGCACGCAGGCGGUCUGUCAAGUCGGAUGUGAAAUCCCCGGGCUCAACCUGGGAACUGCAUUCGAAACUGGCAGGCUAGAGGCUUGUAGAGGGGGGUAGAAUUCCAGGUGUAGCGGUGAAAUGCGUAGAGAUCUGGAGGAAUACCGGUGGCGAAGGCGGCCCCCUGGACAAAGACUGACGCUCAGGUGCGAAAGCGUGGGGAGCAAACAGGAUUAGAUACCGAGUAGUC